Molecule: ribosomal RNA, 663 nt
Filed under: uncultured cyanobacterium
Lineage: Bacteria; Bacillati; Cyanobacteriota
Description: bacterial SSU rRNA
Rfam family: Bacterial small subunit ribosomal RNA
Source: RNAcentral
CGGACGGGUGAGUAACGCGUGAGAAUCUGGCUUUAGGUUCGGGACAACAGUGGGAAACUGCUGCUAAUACCGGAUGUGCCGUAAGGUGAAAGAUUAAUUGCCUGAAGAAGAGCUCGCGUCUGAUUAGCUAGUUGGUGAGGUAAAGGCUCACCAAGGCGACGAUCAGUAACUGGUCUGAGAGGAUGACCAGUCACACUGGGACUGAGACACGGCCCAGACUCCUACGGGAGGCAGCAGUGGGGAAUUUUCCGCAAUGGGCGAAAGCCUGACGGAGCAAUACCGCGUGAGGGAGGAAGGCUCUUGGGUUGUAAACCUCUUUUCUCAGGGAAGAACAAAAUGACGGUACCUGAGGAAUAAGCAUCGGCUAACUCCGUGCCAGCAGCCGCGGUAAUACGGAGGAUGCAAGCGUUAUCCGGAAUUAUUGGGCGUAAAGCGUCCGCAGGUGGCAAUUCAAGUCUGCUGUUAAAGGUUCUGGCUCAACCAGAGACAGGCAGUGGRAACUGAAUAGCUAGAGUGCGGUAGGGGCAGAGGGAAUUCCCAGUGUAGCGGUGAAAUGCGUAGAGAUUGGGAAGAACACCGGUGGCGAAAGYGCUCUGCUAGGCCGUAACUGACACUCAUGGACGAAAGCUAGGGGAGCGAAUGGGAUUAGAUACCCCAGUAGUC